Molecule: ribosomal RNA, 236 nt
Filed under: uncultured bacterium
Lineage: Bacteria
Description: partial 16S ribosomal RNA
Rfam family: Bacterial small subunit ribosomal RNA
Source: RNAcentral
GAACGGGUGAGUAAUAUAUCGGAACGUACCUAGUAAUGGGGAAUAACUAAUCGAAAGAUUAGCUAAUACCGCAUACGACCUACGGGUGAAAGCAGGGGAUCGCAAGACCUUGCGCUUUAGGAGCGGCCGAUGCCUGAUUAGCUUGUUGGUGAGGUAAAAGCUCACCAAGCCGACGAUCUGUAGCUGGUCUGAGAGGACGACCAGCCACACUGGAACUGAGACACGGUCCAGACUCC